This 66-nucleotide microRNA precursor is filed under the name Mustela putorius furo (domestic ferret). RNAcentral's name for it is "miRNA (ENSMPUG00000023049.1)". Lineage: Eukaryota; Metazoa; Chordata; Mammalia; Carnivora; Mustelidae. The record is from RNAcentral.
CGUCCUCCAACCCUCACCCUGGCCGGCAAUGGUGCUGGCGGCGGCGGCGGCGGCGGUGGCGGUGGC